Molecule: long non-coding RNA, 3284 nt
Organism: Coregonus clupeaformis (lake whitefish)
Lineage: Eukaryota; Metazoa; Chordata; Actinopteri; Salmoniformes; Salmonidae
Exons: 7
Source: RefSeq, a predicted model, not a curated record
UAGUACUGGUCCCCCUAACCCUCCUACACCUAGUACUGGUCCCCCUAACCCUCCUACACGUAUUUAGGCCUGCUCCUAAAGCAGGUGGACUCUAUGGUAACACAACCUUAUUAACCAACACACACAGUUCUAGUCAGGUGGACUGGUAACACAGAUCCCUCUAGUCAGGUGGACUGGUAACACAGAUCCCUCUAGUCAGGUGGACUGGUAACACAGAUCCCUCUAGUCAGGUGGACUGGUAACACAGAUCCCUCUAGUCAGGUGGACUGGUAACACAGAUCCCUCUAGUCAGGUGGACUGGUAACACAGAUCCCUCUAGUCAGGUGGACUCUAUGGUAACACAGAUCCCUCUAGUCAGGUGGACUGGUAACACAGAUCCCUCUAGUCAGGUGGACUGGUAACACAGAUCCCUCUAGUCAGGUGGACUCUAUGGUAACACAGAUCCCUCUAGUCAGGUGGACUCUAUGGUAACACAGAUCCCUCUAGUCAGGUGGACUGGUAACACAGAUCCCUCUAGUCAGGUGGACUGGUAACACAGAUCCCUCUAGUCAGGUGGACUGGUAACACAGAUCCCUCUAGUCAGGUGGACUGGUAACACAGAUCCCUCUAGUCAGGUGGACUGGUAACACAGAUCCCUCUAGUCAGGUGGACUGGUAACACAGAUCCCUCUAGUCAGGUGGACUGGUAACACAGAUCCCUCUAGUCAGGUGGACUCUAUGGUAACACAGAUCCCUCUAGUCAGGUGGACUGGUAACACAGAUCCCUCUAGUCAGGUGGACUGGUAACACAGAUCCCUCUAGUCAGGUGGACUCUAUGGUAACACAGAUCCCUCUAGUCAGGUGGACUGGUAACACAGAUCCCUCUAGUCAGGUGGACUGGUAACACAGAUCCCUCUAGUCAGGUGGACUCUAUGGUAACACAGAUCCCUCUAGUCAGGUGGACUGGUAACACAGAUCCCUCUAGUCAGGUGGACUGGUAACACAGAUCCCUCUAGUCAGGUGGACUGGUAACACAGAUCCCUCUAGUCAGGUGGACUGGUAACACAGAUCCCUCUAGUCAGGUGGACUGGUAACACAGAUCCCUCUAGUCAGGUGGACUGGUAACACAGAUCCCUCUAGUCAGGUGGACUGGUAACACAGAUCCCUCUAGUCAGGUGGACUGGUAACACAGAUCCCUCUAGUCAGGUGGACUCUAUGGUAACACAGAUCCCUCUAGUCAGGUGGACUGGUAACACAGAUCCCUCUAGUCAGGUGGACUCUAUGGUAACACAGAUCCCUCUAGUCAGGUGGACUGGUAACACAGAUCCCUCUAGUCAGGUGGACUCUAUGGUAACACAGAUCCCUCUAGUCAGGUGGACUCUAUGGUAACACAGAUCCCUCUAGUCAGGUGGACUCUAUGGUAACACAGAUCCCUCUAGUCAGGUGGACUGGUAACACAGAUCCCUCUAGUCAGGUGGACUGGUAACACAGAUCCCUCUAGUCAGGUGGACUCUAUGGUAACACAGAUCCCUCUAGUCAGGUGGACUGGUAACACAGAUCCCUCUAGUCAGGUGGACUCUAUGGUAACACAGAUCCCUCUAGUCAGGUGGACUGGUAACACAGAUCCCUCUAGUCAGGUGGACUGGUAACACAGAUCCCUCUAGUCAGGUGGACUGGUAACACAGAUCCCUCUAGUCAGGUGGACUGGUAACACAGAUCCCUCUAGUCAGGUGGACUGGUAACACAGAUCCCUCUAGUCAGGUGGACUGGUAACACAGAUCCCUCUAGUCAGGUGGACUGGUAACACAGAUCCCUCUAGUCAGGUGGACUGGUAACACAGAUCCCUCUAGUCAGGUGGACUGCUAACACAGAUCCCUCUAGUCAGGUGGACUGGUAACACAGAUCCCUCUAGUCAGGUGGACUGGUAACACAGAUCCCUCUAGUCAGGUGGACUGGUAACACAGAUCCCUCUAGUCAGGUGGACUGGUAACACAGAUCCCUCUAGUCAGGUGGACUGGUAACACAGAUCCCUCUAGUCAGGUGGACUGGUAACACAGAUCCCUCUAGUCAGGUGGACUCUAUGGUAACACAGAUCCCUCUAGUCAGGUGGACUCUAUGGUAACACAGAUCCCUCUAGUCAGGUGGACUGGUAACACAGAUCCCUCUAGUCAGGUGGACUCUAUGGUAACACAGAUCCCUCUAGUCAGGUGGACUCUAUGGUAACACAGAUCCCUCUAGUCAGGUGGACUCUAUGGUAACACAGAUCCCUCUAGUCAGGUGGACUCUAUGGUAACACAGAUCCCUCUAGUCAGGUGGACUCUAUGGUAACACAGAUCCCUCUAGUCAGGUGGACUGGUAACACAGAUCCCUCUAGUCAGGUGGACUCUAUGGUAACACAGAUCCCUCUAGUCAGGUGGACUCUAUGGUAACACAGAUCCCUCUAGUCAGGUGGACUCUAUGGUAACACAGAUCCCUCUAGUCAGGUGGACUCUAUGGUAACACAGAUCCCUCUAGUCAGGUGGACUCUAUGGUAACACAGAUCCCUCUAGUCAGGUGGACUGGUAACACAGAUCCCUCUAGUCAGGUGGACUGGUAACACAGAUCCCUCUAGUCAGGUGGACUCUAUGGUAACACAGAUCCCUCUAGUCAGGUGGACUGGUAACACAGAUCCCUCUAGUCAGGUGGACUGGUAACACAGAUCCCUCUAGUCAGGUGGACUGGUAACACAGAUCCCUCUAGUCAGGUGGACUGGUAACACAGAUCCCUCUAGUCAGGUGGACUGGUAACACAGAUCCCUCUAGUCAGGUGGACUGGUAACACAGAUCCCUCUAGUCAGGUGGACUGGUAACACAGAUCCCUCUAGUCAGGUGGACUGCUAACACAGAUCCCUCUAGUCAGGUGGACUGGUAACACAGAUCCCUCUAGUCAGGUGGACUGGUAACACAGAUCCCUCUAGUCAGGUGGACUCUAUGGUAACACAGAUCCCUCUAGUCAGGUGGACUCUAUGGUAACACAGAUCCCUCUAGUCAGGUGGACUGGUAACACAGAUCCCUCUAGUCAGGUGGACUCUAUGGUAACACAGAUCCCUCUAGUCAGGUGGACUCUAUGGUAACACAGAUCCCUCUAGUCAGGUGGACUGGUAACACAGAUCCCUCUAGUCAGGUGGACUGGUAACACAGAUCCCUCUAGUCAGGUGGACUCUAUGGUAACACAGAUCCCUCUAGUCAGGUGGACUGGUAGAAUCCCCUGGCUACUGGUCUUAUCACAGGGUGUCUUGACUCUGUAAACACUAAAACAACUGUCAUG